Molecule: long non-coding RNA, 1842 nt
Organism: Callithrix jacchus (white-tufted-ear marmoset)
Lineage: Eukaryota; Metazoa; Chordata; Mammalia; Primates; Cebidae
Source: Ensembl
CCGCUCAGCUCAGCUCUGCAUUUAAGCCGAUGUCCGUUCAGCGAAGACCACCAACCUUCCCCCUCAUCUUCGCGGCCACACUUACUGUCUGCAUCCUCAACUACACAAGCGCAUUCCUACUCAACGUCCUCCAAGUCCCACAGCCCCACAGCCACUUACACCGCCCGGGACCGGUACAUUCUGGACCAGGUGCUGAAGGGGUCAUUUUCACUGAUAGCUCAGUGAUUGCAGAGUCCUUUCCACCCUUCUCCCAGGCACCCCCGGAUACGGCCCCAGAGGGCCUAAGAGGUGGCUUUCACAGUCUAGGUUUCUCUUCUUGAGAAGCUCCUUGACGAUCCGGGUCAGAACCCGGGUUGGAGAGGGUUCUGUCAGCCCUCCCCAGCUGUCCUGCAGUUUGGGGAGCCUGAAGGUGCCCCGCUCGAACUUCCACCUCCUUUCCUUCCCCGCCCCCCAUACCCCUAGGUUUCAGAUUGACGCUAGGCACUGGACCGAGCCUGCUCAGUCACCCUCGGCUGCUAUAGAUUCCGAGGGUGGUGGCCGCCCCUGGCCAUUUCCCUCCUCUCCCUUCGGCUCUAGACCCAGCCCAAGGCCCAGAAAACAGUGAUGAGACCCCGCAGGGAGGUGCCUGGGGCGGAGCCGGCUCCAGGUGGUUACCCCAUGCUGAGUACACACCCAGCUACGCAGUCUCGGAGGAGGGAGGAAGGAGCCAGCCCGGAGCACCUCGGGACUCUGCCGGUCCCAGAGGCCACGCAAACUUUGCCCAGACACAGUGAGGACGAGAGGGUCAGAAGCAGCACAGGAUUCCUAGACAAGGAGCGCGGGGACCUGGCUACGCUGUCCCCGGCCUUUGGAGACAGCCCAUGGCACCAGGCUCUGGAGAGCCUUCUUCCUGACUUCAGCGGGGUGAAGAUGAUACAAUACUUUCUGGUGCUGACAUUCAGCUGUCCCCCAAGCAGCAUUGUGCUCUCCAGAAAGGCUGCACUUGGUCACAGUUUCGUUAGCAUGGCAUUCGAAUGCGGCCUCCUUGGAUUCUGGCCAGCACUGGGCACUGCUGCUGUCUUCGAGCCACUAGUUCUCAAUCUGGGGCAUGGCUUUGAAGAGAAGGUUGCUAAGCCUCCUCAACCCCAAUGCACACCAAUGCCAUUUCCCCACUCAUCUGGAAACCUGGUGGGUCCUGGCCAAACGCCUGUAUGUCAAUUCCACCUCCAACUUGGCUGCCUACCAUGCCAACAUUUUCAUCUCAAGCCUUUCAGAUCUGCUUUGGGCACCCGAAGACAGAGUGAAUCAUCUUUCAAGGAUAUUACUUCUCCAGGUGCUUUCCCAGACCCCUCACUUUAUUCCAGAAGGAGCUACCACCACUUUUGCCUGGCGAGUACGUUUUCACAGUUACACUUAUACGCUACAGCAACUUAUUGGUGAUUUGUCUGUCUCCCUUACUCAACAGUGAAUUAUUCACCUAUCCCUGGAAACCUGGAACUACUCAAUAAAUGUUUGUGGCAUGAAUAUACAUAUACGCUCUUCUGCCUUUCAUUUUUUUACAUACCCUUCAAGGCCUUGCUCAGCCAUCACCUCCUUUUUCCUGGAUUCACUUCCCUGUAGAGUUAAUCAUGCCUCUGUGUUCCCAUGGCACUUUGUAUGUGAUUUCAUUAAAAACUUGCCUGCUGAAAAACCGAAGACAUCAGCUUGAUAUAAGAGAAAAAAACCUUGCCAAAUUGCCUCAUAUUUCCUUAUCAGCCUAUCUGGGGCUACCAUGUUGCACAACUCUGGGACACGAUUCACAUUAAAUCAAGCAAAGCAGAGAUGGCACCUGUACUUGCCCACUAGGCAGUGAAAUUCUGCAGA